GACGAACGCUGGCGGCGUGCUUAACACAUGCAAGUCGAACGGAAAGGCCUGCUUUCCCUUGUGGAUUGCGGGUGCUCGAGUGGCGAACGGGUGAGUAACACGUGAGUGAUCUGCCCCCAACUUGGGUAUAAGCCUGGGAAACUGGGUCUAAUUCCCGAUAGGACUGCAGGGUGGUGCCUGUGGUGGAAAACGAUUUUCUAGUGGUUGGGGAUGAGCUCGCGGCCUAUCAGCUUGUUGGUGGGGUAAUGGCCUACCAAGGCGGCGACGGGUAGCCGGCCUGAGAGGGUGGACGGGCACAUUGGGACUGAGAUACGGCCCAGACUCCUACGGGAGGCAGCAGUGGGGAAUAUUGCACAAUGGGCGGAAGCCUGAUGCAGCGACGCCGCGUGGGGGAUGACGGCCUUCGGGUUGUAAACUCCUUUCGACCGCGAGGAAGCCGCCUGGUUGGAAGGGUGGUGACGGUAGUGGUAGAAGAAGCACCGGCUAACUACGUG
Molecule: ribosomal RNA, 494 nt
Filed under: uncultured bacterium
Lineage: Bacteria
Description: partial 16S ribosomal RNA
Rfam family: Bacterial small subunit ribosomal RNA
Source: RNAcentral